RNAcentral lists this ribosomal RNA (497 nucleotides) under uncultured bacterium. RNAcentral's name for it is "partial 16S ribosomal RNA". It matches the Rfam family "Bacterial small subunit ribosomal RNA", at positions 28 to 507 of the family's 1533-position model. The record is from RNAcentral.
GAUGAACGCUGGCGGCGUGCCUAAUACAUGCAAGUCGAGCGAACAGACGAGGAGCUUGCUCCUCUGACGUUAGCGGCGGACGGGUGAUUAACACGUGUAUAACCUACCUAUAAGACUGGGAUAACUUCGGGAAACCGGAUCUAAUACCGGAUAAUAUAUUGAACCGCAUGGUUCAAUAGUCAAAGACGGUUUUGCUGUCACUUAUAGAUGGAUCCGCGCCGCAUUAGCUAGUUGGUAAGGUAACGGCUUACCAAGGCAACGAUGCGUAGCCGACCUGAGAGGGUGAUCGGCCACACUAGAACUGAGACACGGUCCAGACUCCUACGGGAGGCAGCAGUAGGGAAUCUUCCGCAAUGGGCGAAAGCCUGACGGAGCAACGCCGCGUGAGUGAUGAAGGUCUUCGGAUCGUAAAACUCUGUUAUUAGGGAAGAACAAAUGUGUAAGUAACUAUGCACGUCUUGACGGUACCUAAACAGAAAGCCACGGCUAACUACGUG